This 318-nucleotide non-coding RNA is filed under the name Paenibacillus curdlanolyticus. Its description in RNAcentral is "T-box sequence". It matches the Rfam family "T-box leader". From Rfam's summary of the family: Uncharged tRNA acts as the effector for transcription antitermination of genes in the T-box leader family. T-boxes are found upstream of many aminoacyl-tRNA synthetase genes and some amino acid biosynthetic genes usually in Gram-positive bacteria. The record is from RNAcentral. Lineage: Bacteria; Bacillati; Bacillota; Bacilli; Caryophanales; Paenibacillaceae.
AUAACUUCGUUGACGAGAACAAGUACAUCGCGAUAUCGUUCCUCAGAGAGCUGGCAUUUGCUGAAAGCCAGCGUCCGAUUCGUUUUGGAAUAUCCUCUCCGAGAAGCAGCGCAGAACACGCACAGGCGACCAGCCUUAUGCCAGUAAGCGUUGACGGACGUCCCCCGUUACCGGGAACGCGAUUAGACUCUCUAUUACGGAGUUGAUCGUGAUGAAGGUGCUAUUGGUACACCAUGGCGAUUGCCGAUGAGUCGACCGUAUGGUUGAAGGUGUGCGGAUAGAACAAGGGUGGUAACGCGAGCACGACUCGUCCCUUAU